This 260-nucleotide ribosomal RNA is filed under the name uncultured bacterium. RNAcentral describes it as "partial 16S ribosomal RNA". It matches the Rfam family "Bacterial small subunit ribosomal RNA", at positions 75 to 339 of the family's 1533-position model. The record is from RNAcentral.
UUACUUCGGUGAGUGGAAAGUGGCGGACGGGUGAGUAAUGUGUAGAGAAUCUGCCCUUGAGUGGGGGACAACAGCUGGAAACGGUUGCUAAUACCCCAUAUGAGAUAUUUUGCAAUAACUAUCUUGAAAACUCCGGUGCUCAAGGAUGAGUCUGCAUCUGAUUAGCUAGUUGGGGGUGUAAUGGACCACCAAGGCGACGAUCAGUAGCUGGUUUGAGAGGAUGAUCAGCCACAAUGGGACUGAGACACGGCCCAUACUCC